Molecule: ribosomal RNA, 459 nt
Filed under: uncultured bacterium
Lineage: Bacteria
Description: partial 16S ribosomal RNA
Rfam family: Bacterial small subunit ribosomal RNA
Source: RNAcentral
CCUACGGGCGGCAGCAGUGAGGAAUAUUGGUCAAUGGCCGGAAGGCUGAACCAGCCAAGCCGCGUGAAGGACGAAGGUGCCAAGCAUUGUAAACUUCUUUUGUCAAGGGACAAAAUCAGGCUCGAGAGCCUGACCGAGGGUACUUGAAGAAAAAGCAUCGGCUAACUCCGUGCCAGCAGCCGCGAUAAUACGGAGGAUGCGAGCGUUAUCCGGAUUUAGUGGGUUUAAAGGGUGCGUAGGCGGACUGUUAAGUCAGCGGUAAAAGCCCGGGGCUCAACCCCGGCGAGCCGUUGAAAAUGGGUGUCUUGAGAUGUCGAGAGGUAUGCGGAAUGCGCGGUGUAGCGGUGAAAUGCGUAGAUAUUGCGCAGAACUCCGAUUGCGAAGGCAGCAUACCGGCGGCGAUCUGACGCUGAGGCACGAAAGCGUGGGUAUCGAACAGGAUUAGAUACCCGUGUAGUC